RNAcentral lists this ribosomal RNA (485 nucleotides) under Streptomyces sp. 313F04. RNAcentral describes it as "bacterial SSU rRNA". It matches the Rfam family "Bacterial small subunit ribosomal RNA", at positions 93 to 592 of the family's 1533-position model. The record is from RNAcentral. Lineage: Bacteria; Bacillati; Actinomycetota; Actinomycetes; Kitasatosporales; Streptomycetaceae.
UAGUGGCGAACGGGUGAGUAACACGUGGGCAAUCUGCCCUUCACUCUGGGACAAGCCCUGGAAACGGGGUCUAAUACCGGAUAACACUUCCUGCCGCAUGGUGGGGGGUUAAAAGCUCCGGCGGUGAAGGAUGAGCCCGCGGCCUAUCAGCUUGUUGGUGGGGUGAUGGCCUACCAAGGCGACGACGGGUAGCCGGCCUGAGAGGGCGACCGGCCACACUGGGACUGAGACACGGCCCAGACUCCUACGGGAGGCAGCAGUGGGGAAUAUUGCACAAUGGGCGAAAGCCUGAUGCAGCGACGCCGCGUGAGGGAUGACGGCCUUCGGGUUGUAAACCUCUUUCAGCAGGGAAGAAGCGAAAGUGACGGUACCUGCAGAAGAAGCGCCGGCUAACUACGUGCCAGCAGCCGCGGUAAUACGUAGGGCGCAAGCGUUGUCCGGAAUUAUUGGGCGUAAAGAGCUCGUAGGCGGCUUGUCACGUCGGA